RNA transcript from Macrobrachium nipponense, 6807 nucleotides. RefSeq lists it as uncharacterized. NCBI's taxonomy places the organism in Eukaryota, Metazoa, Arthropoda, Malacostraca, Decapoda, Palaemonidae. The transcript has 4 exons. The record is from RefSeq and is a predicted model, not a curated record.
UUCACGAGAGAGAGAGAGAGAGAGAGAGUUGCAACUUGAAAGACGCAGAACGUAUCAUGCUUAUUCAUUCCGAUAGUGAGCAAAGUUGCAGUAAACGUGUUCUCCAUGGGCUACUUUCCAUCCGUUGUUCUGAGCACCGGACGGAACGUAACCCAGCGAACGCGUACACUGCAAGACGAAUCGGACGAACGAAACGUCAAGCAAUAUCACAAAGUCACGCCCACGUCGUUUCGACGCUGUCUUUAUCCCCCAACUUCAUGUAAAGUAAACUUUAUUUGAUUUUAUUAGUAUAUUUAUACAGAUAUUCGAAGUAUGUCGUGAUAAAUACUAAGGAAAACAAGAAUAUGCUUAGUGUAUAUUGAAUGGUUCGUCAGGAAAAUGUCACUUCCGGCGAAUGGGCCCUUGGUCGCAUCCCGUAGAGUACACGUCUGGUUGCCUGGCUGCCGCUAAACGUUUAGCGGUAAAGUGAGAAUUCUCAUUGGUCCUGGUCUAGUUACGAGUCAUUGUGAUUGGUCCACGUACUUUGUUUCAAUCGUCGGUGCGGUUGUGAUCCGCCACCUGCCAGACUGAAGAGUCAGAGAGGGACCCAGUCUUGCACAGUUAACACUUAACAAUUUCGUGCAGCCAGACUACUUGGAAGGAAGACGAUAUCGCGCAGCCGCGCUCCAGUUCUGCCAACUUUACUCCUGUUUAAGGCUGUCUCAGGACUUCAAAGGGACUUGAGCAGUGAAUUCAUUACAAAGACCACGUGGCACCAAAAGUUCAAUGAAGUAAAUUUUCUCAUAAUCAGCGAGUUACACAGCAACAGAAUGGAAAAGUGACCUGCAUAGGAGAGCUAAAAAGAAAACCAAAGAGAAUUUAAUAGGCCAUAAAUUUAUAAAUUAUAUCCUUAAACAUAAGGAAGGUAGUAUACUACAUUAAGAGGGCUAAAUGUUACUACCUCCUCAAAUUUGAGGUGACUGUAUGCAGGCAGUUCCCGGUUGUCGGCAGACUCGUUUAUUGGCGAUCCAGUUUUAUGGUGCUUGUUUAAUGCCGUUACAAUCUGCAAUUUAUGACAUCAUAACGCGUAGAGUUCCAGUUAUCUUUACCAUAAGGUGCCAGUAAGAGAGUUCUGGCCCCAUAAAUCACCAUCGUGCGCCUGUCUAAGAGGGUCUCCCUCCAUGCCCAGGAGGGACCUAUCAAAAACCACGCCUGCACCAUACACCAAGAGGCUAUUUCAUGGGAUGUGAUCACCCAGAAUAUGAAGAUCAUCGGGAAGCUUUGGCGCCUGUCGAGCAGGUAACUUCUCAUCCAGCAAAUAAAACCAGCACUGAAUAGGACAUAAGAAUAUCUCUUCCUACGAGUAUGAGAAGACCUGCACCCAACAGUGACACCACCAAUUGCAGUAACUCUACAGAAGAUAAUGCGCCAGAACGAGAUACUCCUGCAGACAAUGAAAAUCAAGCCAGCCAUGACAUCACACAGCAUGACAUAAUAUCCAGCAAUGUCACUGUACAGCUCAGAUCUCGGAGAUUGCAGCUACACAACCAUCAGUGCGGCAGAAGUAGCUUGAGGCCUGUCCCAAGCAAUCAAUGAAAACUUGACUUGCUGCCAUCACCCAAUAGGAGAUUGGCAUGGGGCAGACCCCCUGCUGAUGCCCCCGGAUAUGAGGAGGAAGGACGCCACACCAGUAGUAGUCCACCCUUGGCUUCCUAGCCUAGGGGAUGUCUGGCAGCUCCAGAUGAAAGCUCACUACAGGAGAGAGAACCGAGGAUGUCUGGCAGCUCCAGAUGAAAACUCUCUGAGAGAGAGACACAGACUAUAAUAAUUAUGGUAUCAUAGUAUGCCUGUAAAAACUAUAAUAGAAAUAUACACCAAUCUUGACUAUAUUUGAUAAUGACCUCCAUAGGUGCUCUACUAGCCUGUUGAAGUAGCACAGAAAAGGCCGCUAAAUACAGAAGAAUCUCUACAACCCUAACCCUGCUGAAAUAACCAUUAAUUGAACAUGUUCAUGAACAUGGUACAGUAGAGCUUCAUGAACUCAAUAGUAUUCAUUGAAAACUGCUAAAUUUACAUACACAUGAAAUUGUUAAAAGCCCUUGUCCGUUGGUGGGAUAAUAAAGAAAGCAGCAAGUGCUUCUCCAAGAAUGGCCUCCCCAAGUAUUUUAUCUUGUUCAUACUUGUUCUCGAUGCAGGCAGCAGACCUUAAUGUCACUCGUAAUUGGCUGCUACCUCAAUGUCAUGCUGUAAUGAGCUGCUACUUCUCCAAGACUUUAGCCCUGUCUAGUCAUAACAGUCAUGUCUACUUUCUCCUCAUUGGUCAUUAAUUGUAACUUCCUCUGGUGCUUAGGCUCUCUGCCAGAAGCCUUAGAAGUAAAGCUAGUACUGUACAGGCACAAAUGAGAGAGAUCUGUGAACUGAGUUACUGACUUGCCACUACGGUAUACACACUGUACUGUUGCACAUAUGUAUACUAACAGUGAAAUUCUGUGCAUGUGUUCAUUUUAUUUAGUUUUUUUAAUAAGAUUAUUUUUUUAAAUAUGACGUACCUAAAGUGUAUUAGGAUGAUACAUUGUAGUAGGUAGAUCAUAUCUAAAAUAUGUAGGAUGACAGGAAAAUUAGGGUAUGUAUGUGUAUGUCUGCAGUACAUAGCAUUUUCAUGUAAAAACUAGUGUAUUGUUGUGACUACUUUACAUUUUCUAUGAAGAAAAAAGAUUUAACAUCAUACUGAACUGAUGUCAUCAUUGGGGUUCUCCUUGUUGAACAUCAAUAUUGACAGUGCACAUUUCUUUGGCAGUGCAAGAACAUCUCUGUUUAAAGUGUGAGUUUCUUUGAAAGUGCACAAAAUGAUAGUAGGGUACUCUGCACGUAUCUGCAUACAGCAUCUUAUCAUGAGACAUCCUGUGAGGUUAUCUUAUCUUCUCCUCUGUCUGCUUGGGGAAGACCCGUGUUAGACCUCUUCACUACAUAGUUCAACAAGAGGCUUGAUGUCUACUCUUCAAUUGUCCCCGGUCCGUUCGCCCCAUCUGGUGAACGACUCCCAUCUGCUUACUUCGGACAACCUGGAAGUUUACGCCUUUCCUCCAUUCUCCCUGAUCUCUUCUCUCUGCAGUGCCAAGAGAGAAUCCACUUUCACACAUUCCACAUUACAACCUUCUCUGCCAUCCUCAUGUGGAGAGGUACCACUAAUCGAUAGGAUUUUAUCGCCUCAUGUCUUGAAGUCUGUCCAGUAUCUCUUUUGAGCGAGAAAACUUUCUCGGAGAGUAGAGACUCAAUGUCCGGCUGCCUCAGAAGAUCUUUUUCAGCCAUUUAUAAGGGCAAAUGAGCCGUAUGCUUGGGUUGAUGUUAUCGAUGGGAUUUCUCUCCACUCAGAGUUUCUGUUUAGUAGAUAAUGAUCCUAAUCUUUCUCAAAACAGAGAAUGUUCUUUCUGUUUCUGCUGUCAAGGCCUACAGGGCUGCCUCAUGAAUAAUUCUUCGUCUGAAAGACAUGGACAUCACUUCAUCCUAAGCAAUUUUGUACACCUAGGGAACUCAAACCUCCUACAUGGGACCUUACUCUGGUGCUGCGUAGUCUUACUUAAGCUGCAUUCAAGCCCGUGUCAAUCAUUUUACAGAGAACUGACUUGAAAACAGUUUUCUUUUUGGGCUUUGCUGCCUUGGAAAGAGUUGGAGAGCUCCAUGGUCAGGAUUAGACAUAAACACAAGGUGUUGGGUUCAGUAGCUUUCAAAUUUGACUUGGGAUUCAAGGCUAAGACCCAAAAUCCCUUUGGUAUCCGAUGACAGAUUUUCUUCAUUACCUGUUCCUUCCAUAAUGGAGUCUGUUACCAGCAACCUUCAUGAGCUAUUGCUUUCCUCCAUCAGAGCACUGUGUUGUUAUAUAAAAAAAAAAAAAAAAGUCUUCACCCACCCUGGUGUUCUAGACUUUUGGGUGUCACAAGUCAGGUCAGGGUGUUCAAGAAUACCUUUUUGAUUUGCUACGUGAGGUGGUUAGGCAAGCCUACUCCUUAUUGUCAAGUUCUGCCACCAAUACUGUGCAUGCAGAAGUACAUGACAUCAAAGGAAUAAGUUCCUCCCAGGCAUUUAAGAACUUGUUUGUUCAUUGAAUUUUGAAUGUUGAUUCCUGGCUACAUCAGACCACUUCUUGGACACUUUUCCUUGGGUCCAGUGGUGGCUGAUCAACAUGUGUAGCAAAUCCUGUGACUGGUGGAUCCGGCGUAAGAUGAUAGCGUGGAGGAGGGAAUGAGUUGGAUGACUAGUUUAUUUUUUUUUUCUUCAAUAUCUACAGGCAUUUUGAAGAAUAGAUACAUCAUACAUUGGAGCUGGCUUGAUGCAGGCGAGUAUUGCAGGCAUACUGUUACAGCACAUUUUGUGUUCCAUACAGAAUAUAAAUCUGCUUCCCAGUAGCUUCAAUUCCUUGCUCCAGCAAGGAGAGUAAGGAGUGGUGAUAAACCCAUUUCAUGUGGCUGACAUGGUUUGUUGCUUCAACAGAUAGAGUGCUCUUUGACUUCCAUUUAUGCAAUGAAUCUGGACUUAGUUCUCUCUGACUUCCAUUUAAGCAAUGAAUCUGGACAUGUUACUUUGUAUUUAAACCCAGUGGACCAACAAACCCAGUGGACUUGGUGUUGGAAUCUGCAUCUUAGAAGAAUGAUCAGGUGUGCCGAACCUCCAGUCAGUUCAGGAUUCUUAUAUCUCCCUCCAGGUGUGAGACUAUACACUUAUGAACGAAUGACAAAUUUUCAGUUAAUUUGUAUUUUUCAUAACUAACAAACGGUCUAUAUCUUAUAAAGGUUCAAGCGUGGCCAUUUAUCUCAUCCACCUCAGCUACAUAUAGGAUUCCAGAUGCCACAGAUGCCUUGCAUUUACCAAUUUUUUUCUAUUGUUUUAACCAAUAUCCAUCUGGUACUAAAAUAUUUAUCAUUAUGGUAAAAGCUCAGGUUUGUUAGCUAUAAAAAAUACAAAAUACAGUUGGAGCUUGGUAAUUCCUGGAGAUAGGGACUACAACUGCCUGCAUUAAGCGAAUACCUGCUAUCACACCCCUCAAAAAAUACUUAGGCAAGAGCCAGACUGCCUAUUUCAAUUGUUAAAAACACCAAGGAGCCCCUACCUAUAUAAAUUCUUAUAGGCUGACUAUUUUAAUUAUAAUUCAAACACCGAAUAGUAUCCUUAAACUAUCGUACGGGUACUCACCAUUGAUCCAGCCUAGCCUAAAUUGAUUGAAGAUGAUACACAUGUAUAUACUGCAAGUUAAGACUAUCGCAAAGGCAAAAACAUCCUCGAAAGCUCCUAAUUAGUAGUAGUAGAAGGAGGGUCUUUGAAAUGGCUUCCGUGCUCAUUAUAGUCAUCUUUUGUUUGUGUUUAAGUUGUAUGUCGCUAAAAUGCCAUGAACCUUUAUGAAUUCUUUCCUAUUUUCAAUUUUCUCCCUUCAUUAUAUUCUCAAGAAAAAAUAUAUUAGCUAAUAAUUCCUUUUUUAUUUUCCGGAUAUGGCUGCUGCAUAAAACUAUAUCUAUUUAUUGAAUAAAUAUAUUUAUGAUAAAAGAAUUAUUUACUGUACUGAUUACAGUACAUUACUGUAAUAUUAAUGUAUAACCACAGCAAAAUACAGUAAUCAAAGUAUUUUUUUGUUUGAAAAAUGUUUAUCAAUGUUUAUAUUUAGUUAUAUUCAGAGAAUUAGCCGAUUGAAAAACGUACAUUGAUGAAUUAUAUAUUGGCAGAAAGGCCAGGAAAUCCUAUACACAAACAUAUGCAAGUUAAUUUUGCUGCCUACCUAGAUAGAGAUACAAGAUUGUGAUCAGUGGGUAAGUAAUACAAUGUAGAUGAGAUACAAGAUCGUGAUUAGUGGGUAAAGAAGUCUAAAAGUAUUUCCCCCUCCCCCCAAGACACAAUUAUUAAUGGUUAGAAAUGAAUAAUUAAAUGAUGCAUAAUUAACAGUGAAUAAUUGUACAGUUAAUCACGAUAUCUUGUUGGUAUCAGGAGCCGUCCCAGAGUUCUUGGUAUUUUAGGUUGUGGGGGUGGCUCAACUGUUGUGUUGUCCAGCAGCCUUGCCGGGAUGUCGCCUUUUGUCUGGCCCCUAGGAUGACCUCGACUUUGCCAAUCUCUUCCCAGGUUUUGUUAUCCAUGAGGAAGGUUGGCUUUAAUCUGUUGAUGGAUACCCAGUUUUCCCGCCCAUGGAUGUCAGUAAGGUACAGGAAUGCCGAGCCUCUCUAGUGAUGUUCGGCACACUGAAACGGCUUAUCCAAGUUGAUAGUAAGGCUUCCAUGCAGGCACGUGUAGAUGCUUCUGCUAUCGGGGUUGCUUCCGGCCAUCACAUAGACCAGUCCAUGACUGUUAAGAGGUAUCUGGCGGCGGGCGUCGUCCCUCAGGAAGAUGUUUGUGCAGGUUUUCUAGUCCUUCUGGUCUGUAGUUGUGUGUCCUGUCCAUGAAAAUCUCCUGGCAGGGCGUGAACCUUUUCUAUUUCUCUUUCUGAGGGGCGUACCUCUGUCGUCUGGCUCCGUGGGGAACAGUUUCCUAGGAAGUGCCAGUGCUUUCCUGUAGAAUUUAUCUGCAGGAGAUUCUUCAUCAUUUGCCUUUAGUGCUGUUUGAAGUCCCAGCUGAACCCAGGGUAACUGCGCCUUCCAGUUUUUGUCAUUACACUGUGCCGUCAGUGUUGCUUUUAAUGAAUGUUGGGCCCUUUCCACCAUUCCGUUGGCCAUAGGGGUGUAUGCCGUUGUGCUGUGGAGUGUUGUCCCCCAUCAGGCAUGCCAUGGAGUGUUGAUUUCCUUUGGUAGAAAUAUAAAACUCCAGAAACUGCUUGCUGUGCUUUAUUCCUAUUCCUUUAGAAUUUCUAUAUAC